CUACGGGUUGCUGCAGUGGGGAAUAUUGCACAAUGGGGGAAACCCUGAUGCAGCAACGCCGCGUGGAGGAUGACGCAUUUCGGUGUGUAAACUCCUUUUAUAUAGGAAGAUAAUGACGGUACUAUAUGAAUAAGCACCGGCUAACUCCGUGCCAGCAGCCGCGGUGAAUACGGAGGGUGCAAGCGUUACUCGGAAUCACUGGGCGUAAAGCGCGCGCAGGCGGCCUUUUAAGUUGGAUGUGAAAGCCUAUGGCUUAACCAUAGAACUGCAUCCAAAACUAUCAGGCUAGAGUCUGGGAGGGGAAGAUGGAAUUAGUUGUGUAGGGGUAAAAUCCGUAGAGAUAACUAGGAAUACCAAAAGCGAAGGCGAUCUUCUGGAACAGUACUGACGCUGAGGCGCGAAAGCGUGGGGAGCAAACAGGAUUAGAUACCCUCGUAGUC
This 440-nucleotide ribosomal RNA is filed under the name uncultured bacterium. RNAcentral's name for it is "partial 16S ribosomal RNA". It matches the Rfam family "Bacterial small subunit ribosomal RNA", at positions 339 to 795 of the family's 1533-position model. The record is from RNAcentral.